RNAcentral lists this transfer RNA (70 nucleotides) under Pangasianodon hypophthalmus (striped catfish). RNAcentral's name for it is "tRNA-Sec". The record is from RNAcentral. Lineage: Eukaryota; Metazoa; Chordata; Actinopteri; Siluriformes; Pangasiidae.
UCCCUGGAGGACUAGUGGUUAGGCCACGGCGCUCACUGCUGUGGCCCGGGCUCGAUUCCCGCACAGGGAA